GGAAAAGAAACCAACCGUGGCAUUGCCUUAGUAACGGCGAGUGAAGCGGCAAAAGCUCAAAUUUGAAAUCUGGUACCUUCGGUGCCCGAGUUGUAAUUUGGAGAGGGCAACUUUGGGGCCGUUCCUUGUCUAUGUUCCUUGGAACAGGACGUCAUAGAGGGUGAGAAUCCCGUGUGGCGAGGAGUGCGGUUCUUUGUAAAGUGCCUUCGAAGAGUCGAGUUGUUUGGGAAUGCAGCUCUAAGUGGGUGGUAAAUUCCAUCUAAAGCUAAAUAUUGGCGAGAGACCGAUAGCGAACAAGUACAGUGAUGGAAAGAUGAAAAGAACUUUGAAAAGAGAGUGAAAAAGUACGUGAAAUUGUUGAAAGGGAAGGGCAUUUGAUCAGACAUGGUGUUUUGUGCCCUCUGCUCCUUGUGGGUAGGGGAAUCUCGCAUUUCACUGGGCCAGCAUCAGUUUUGGUGGCAGGAUAAAUCCAUAGGAAUGUAGCUUGCCUCGGUAAGUAUUAUAGCCUGUGGGAAUACUGCCAGCUGGGACUGAGGACUGCGACGUAAGUCAAGGAUGCUGGCAUAAUGGUUAUAU
This 576-nucleotide ribosomal RNA is filed under the name Saccharomyces cerevisiae (brewer's yeast). Its description in RNAcentral is "eukaryotic LSU rRNA". It matches the Rfam family "Eukaryotic large subunit ribosomal RNA", at positions 55 to 643 of the family's 3401-position model. Lineage: Eukaryota; Fungi; Ascomycota; Saccharomycetes; Saccharomycetales; Saccharomycetaceae. The record is from RNAcentral.